Molecule: long non-coding RNA, 246 nt
Organism: Lonchura striata (white-rumped munia)
Lineage: Eukaryota; Metazoa; Chordata; Aves; Passeriformes; Estrildidae
Source: RefSeq, a predicted model, not a curated record
CCAUGGGUGUUGGAUUUGCCUUCGGUGACCUUACCAUCUCUCCGCGUAAAUUGCUAUUUUACAUCAAAGCAGUCCUUUACUUGAAGCCACCAGCUCCCUCAUAACUGGAAGUUAAAAGAUAGUAACAACAGCUGAAUCAGAACACAAGAGCUUAAUUCAAUCUGCUAUAUGAAUUAUUUGACCUGGGCCAGUUCCAAAGAAAUAAAUGUAAAAAAGGACCAAAAUAAACCAAGCUAAUUCAAUUAA